UACAGAGGGUGCAAGCGUUGUUCGGAAUUACUGGGCGUAAAGGGCUCGUAGGCUGCCAACUAAGUCAGACGUGAAAUCCCUCGGCUUAACCGGGGAACUGCGUCUGAUACUGGAUGGCUUGAGAUUGGGAGAGGGAUGCGGAAUUCCAGGUGUAGCGGUGAAAUGCGUAGAUAUCUGGAGGAACACCGGUGGCGAAGGCGGCAUCCUGGACCAACACUGACGCUGAUGAGCGAAAGCCAGGGGAGCAAACGGG
RNAcentral lists this ribosomal RNA (253 nucleotides) under uncultured bacterium. Its description in RNAcentral is "partial 16S ribosomal RNA". It matches the Rfam family "Bacterial small subunit ribosomal RNA", at positions 524 to 776 of the family's 1533-position model. The record is from RNAcentral.